This 5724-nucleotide small RNA is filed under the name Mytilus galloprovincialis (Mediterranean mussel). The record is from RNAcentral. Lineage: Eukaryota; Metazoa; Mollusca; Bivalvia; Mytilida; Mytilidae.
AUGGACACGCCAGAUGAAGUAGAAACAAGACGGCUGAGAACACUUACAGUUAGGGCAAUGGAAAACUAUAAAGAAAAGGUUAAAGCAUAUCAUGCUAAACUAUUAGAAAAGAGACAAGCAGUUGAGGCAUCAUUAGCCUAUCUGGAGGAACAAACAGGAGAUAUACAAAUUCUAGGACAGGUUAGAGAAACUCUUGUGGAAGUACUUAACCAUUAUUAUGAACUUUGCAAAGAAUUCUGUGAAUACUUGUCACCUCAAAAUACGGAACAAAGUAAUAGUGAACUAUUAGUACAAAAAUCUGUGUUUCAAACAAUAGCUAAAGAAGUAGAUCUAGCAAUUAAAUUCAUUGAUGAGCAAACAAGUCAUAGUACCAAGAUCGAAACAGAGAAUAGCUCAACAGCACAUCUAGUCAAAGAGGAUGAGCCUCAAUUAACAAUUAGGAAAGAGAGCCCAGUUCAUCAUUCUAGUCUUCAUGGUUCUUUACAUGAUCAAGGCAAUUCUAGUCAUAAGAUCCAAGGACAUAAGUCACAUUCUAGUUCUAGUCAUAAAGCUAAAGGUAGUGAUGGAGGUCGUUCUUCAAAUUACACUCACAGUCAUUCUAGUCAGGGAAGUCGCUCAAGCAAGUCAAUUCUUCGAGACAAAACAGCUAGAGCUGAAGCUGCUCAGGCAAAACUUAAAUUCAUAGAAGAGGAAGAGAAAUUAGUAAGAAAACAAAAUGAGUUAGAAUUAGAAGUCCAAAAACAAAGAUCAGAACUUAAAUCAAACUUAAACAUUUUGAAACAUAAAAGAGAGAUUGCAGAAGCCGAGGCAGAAUUAACAGCAGUUAAGGAAAUUUUAGAUGAGGAAAAUGCAAUAGAUAGCAAUUGGAAGGACAGAGGUCUGAACCUUCCUGAAUCAAGUGCUUCUCAAAUAGUAAAAUCUUAUGUUACCAAUCAGAGACCGAAAGUUUAUGUUCCAGUUGAGGAAACAAAAUUAAACCCUCGUGUACAAGAAUUUGUGCCUUCAACAAUACUGCAAAAAGAAAUCAAAACAUCUCAACCACAACAGACUAUGCACGUGUCUGAAUCACCUGGAAUAAUUGACCUCACAAAAUAUAUUAUGAAGAAAGAUCUUUUAAUUUCAAGAUUAUCGACUUUCGAUGACAAACCUGAACGAUAUUGCAGUUGGAAAAAUAGCUUUAACAACAUACUAAGAGAACUGGAUGCAACAGAUUCAAAACAGUUAGAUCUUUUAAACAGAUACUUAGGCCCACAGUCAAAACGACAUGCAGCAAGUCUGAGAGUUGCUAACUCCCACAACGAAAAUCAAGCUGUUGUUAAGAUUUGGCAAAGGUUGGAUGAAAGAUAUGGGGCGCCAGAAAGUAUAGCAGCAGCACUUAAAGAUCGACUUGAUAAAUUCAAUAAAAUCAACAAUACAGAAUAUGACAAACUUUAUGAAUUAUAUGACUUAUUGGCUGAGGUAGAAUCAAUUAAAGAAAAUAAUAUAUACAGGACAGUCCUAUCAUUCUAUGAUUCAUCGUAUUGGGUGAAUGCAAUCGUAGGGAAAUUGCCAAACUUUAUUCAAACAAAAUGGAUGGAUCGUGCUAGUAGGUACAAAACACAACAUUCUGUGAUGUAUCCGCCUUUUUCAACGUUUGUAGAAUUCUUACACAGCAUGGCAGUGCGAAUGAAUGACCCUAGCCUCAAAAUCCAACCAUCAGAUAGUGGACGAGACAAAAAAGUGGAACGGAAAUAUGCUGGAAAAAAGGACUCCUGGUCAGACUGUUUUGAAAACAACUAUUGAAAAACAAAACACUUCGGCUAAUCUGAACUUAAAAUGUAUUAUUCAUGAAAAUGGCAAACACAAACUUGCUGACUGUAAAGUAUUUGUUGAGAAACCGUUAGAAGAAAAAAGACAAAUAAUACGGAAAAAUGGGAUUUGUUUCAAAUGCCUAAAUGGGAAGCAUCUAGCUAAAGAUUGCAAAGCUAACAUAAAGUGUGAGAAAUGUGGAAAAAAGGCACACUGUACAGCCUUUCACUUUGAACGUGAAACCCUACAAAAUAAUGGCGGGGAAAGACAAGUUGACAAUAUACCGCAAGACCAAGUAAGUACAAAAUGUACUGAAAUUUGUAAGGACUCGGGAGAAACUACUUUCCAAGGAAAGUCUUGUGCAAAGCAUCUGCUAGUCAAGGUGUAUCCGGAAGGCAAACCAGAAGUCAGUGUUACUACUUAUGCGAUCAUUGAUGAUCAGAGUAAUAGGUCUUUAGCCUGUUCAACAUUUAUAGAUUAUUUCAAUGAAACCACAGAGCCAGUUGAAUACACACUAGCAUCUUGCUCGGGAAAAACUGUUCAACAUGGUCGUCGUACUACAGGGUACAUACUAGAAUCUUUGGAUGGCACUACACAACUGAAGUGUCCAUCUCUGAUUGAAUGCAACGAAAUUCCGAUCUCAAAGCGAGAAAUAGCUACUCCUGCCAUAGCUAGGCACUACAAACAUCUACAGGAUAUAGAACAGUUCAUACCAGAACUUGAUAGGAAUGCCGAAGUUUAUGCUUCUUAUAGGACGGGAUGUGACCGCCGCUCAUCACAUUUUAGAUCAAAGAAUUGGCAAGGACAACGAACCGUAUGUACAACGUCUUCGUCUAGGAUGGGCAAUAAUUGGCGAAACAUGCUUAGGUUUAGUGCACACAUCAGAUACAAUCACAGUUAACAAAACAACAGUUCUUCCAAACGGCAGAGAGACAAAUCUCAAACCAUGUGAAUAUGGUUUCAGAGUGAAAGACAAGGAACCAGAUAUUGGUAGUACUGUUUUCAAACAAACUAGAGAAGAUGAUACUUUAGGAUUAUCUCAAGAGGACAAAGAAUUUCUAAUCGUUAUGGAUAAAGAAUUUCACACGUCAGAAAAAUGGUCGUUUAUCGGCACCUUUACCGUUUCGGAGAGAUAGACCAAAACUUCAAAACAACUAUCAUCAGGCAAGACAAAGAGCAGAGAAUCUUAGUAGAAGCUUCAAACGAGACUCCACUAAACAGCAUUUUGUAGAAUUUAUGAAAAAGAUAUUUGUAAAUAAUCACGCAGAAGCAGUCACUCCGGCUAGAAAGGGAGAGGAAGUUUGGUAUCUCCCAAUCUUUGGAGUUUAUCACGCAAAGAAGCAAUCAAAAAUCAGAGUAGUAUUCGACUCAGCAGCUAAAUAUAAUGGACUUUGUCUGAAUGAUAUUCUUAUGAAGGGACCAGACUUAACAAACAACUUGGUUGGUGUACUAUUGAAGUUUAGGAAGGGUAAAGUUGCCGCAAUUGCAGAUGUUGAACAAAUGUUUUUCAAUUUUGAGGUAAAUGAAGAACACAGGAACUACUUAAGAUUUGUAUGGUUUAAGGAUGUAUGUCAUUAUGUAAACAACAAUUUUUAUGUAGAUGAUGGUUUAGUGUCAGGCGACAGCCCUGAAGAAAUUGUAAGUCUCAUCAAAAGGACUCAAGAAAGAUUAAUAACAGGAGGUAAAAUUAGACUGCAUAAGAUAGUAUCGAAUAAUAGUGAGGUAGUCAAGAGUUUUGAAACAAAGGAUUUAGCUGAAAGCAUUACCAAGAUUGACUUUAAUUCAGAGUCUACAUGUCUACAGAGAAGUUUAAGUUUAUGUUGGAAAGUUUGUAAAAGACAUUUUCACCUAUCAGUUAUCUAAAGAGGAGAAACCCUUUACAAAAAGAGGGCUGCUAUCAGUAAUUAAUGGAGUAUUUGAUCCGUUAGGGUUCAUAGCUCCUGUAAUCCUUGGCGGAAGGUUAAUUAUGAAAGAAGCAGUACAAAACAAUUCAUUAGAUUGGAAUGAUCCGUUGCCUGAUGAUUUACUCUCUGACUGGCAGAGAUGGAAACAGUCCUUACAGGAUCUUGAAACAUUAGAGAUAGGGAGGCCUUUCACUAGUCAAUCAUUGAACGACAGUACUGAAUGUGAAUUACACAUCUUCUCGGACGCAUCAAAGGAGGCGAUUUCGUCUGUUGCCUAUAUCCGUACAUUUGACAAGAAAGGAGAUUCAGAACUAGGUUUUUAGUAGGAAAGUCCAAACUGGCUCCGUGUCAUGGACAUACCAUACCGAGGCUGGAAUUAUAUGGAGCUGUUCUGUCAACUGAGUUAGCUACAUUCAUUCAGAAUGAACUGAAAUUGUCAUUAAGUUCCACACACUUUUAUACCGAUAGUCAGGUAGUACUAGGGUAUAUAUACAAUGAGAAAAGAAGGUUUUAUGUGUAUGUCAGCAACCGUGUUAGCAAAAUUUUGAAAGGUUCUGUGAAAUCACAAUGGAGCUAUGUACCAACAGAGUUAAAUCCUGCUGAUCAUGGCACACGGCCGUUAGAAGCAAAACAUGUAGGAGACUCAAAGUGGUUAUUAGGACCAAAAUCAUAAAUAGAUACUUUUCACAAAUCCGAAUGCACUUCAUUUGAUAUUGUGUCACCUGAUGAAGACCAGGAAGUUUGUCCUAUAGCAGUAGAGUCUAUGAAAACAUUGAUAUCACCUAUUCAAACCUUAGGAGUUGAUCGGUUUGAGAGAUUCUCAAAAUGGUCAAGUUUAGUAAGAGCUAUAUCUUUGUUGAAAAGAAAGAUUGUGUCUAGUUAUAGGAGUAAAGUAGAUACUAAGGAUACAAGGACUUGUGUAGAUAUCAGAAAAGAGGCUGAAACACUUGUUUUGAGAGAAACUCAGUUACAGUAUUAUUCUAAUGAAACAGAUUGUUUAAAGAGUGGUAAACACUUGCCUAAAAACAGCAAUAUUAUUGCACUUUCUCCAAUACUUGAUUCAGAAGGACUGUUAAGAUUAGGCGGAAGACUAAAACAUUCUAAAUUAGAAACUGGAGAAAAGAUGCCUCUAAUCAUACCAGGUGGAAGCCAUAUUGCUUCAUUGUUAAUAACACACUUUCAUGAGUCAGUGCACCAUCAGGGACGCCAUUACACAGAAGGUGCUGUACGCUCAAAUGGUUUCUGGAUAACUGGAGAAAAACGCCUUAUUAAUUCUAUUUUGCACAAGUGCGUACAAUGUAGGAAACUAAGAGGAAAAGUAGAACACCAGAAAAUGGCAGAUCUGCCAUCAGAUCGUCUUACACCAAGUCCUCCGUUUUCAUACGUAGGUGUUGAUACAUUUGGACCAUGGUCUGUAGCCACAAGGCGAACACGUGGAGGUGCCGCUAAUUCUAAACGAUGGGCAAUAAUGUUUUCAUGCCUUGUUACUCGUGCCAUCCACAUUGAGGUCAUAGAGGAAAUGACUUCAUCCUCAUUCAUUAAUGCUUUGCGUCGAUUUACAGCAAUAAGAGGACCCGUAAGAGAAUUUAGAUCUGAUCAAGGUACCAACUUUGUAGGAGCAGUAAAUGAAUUGUCACUACUAUAUAAUGAUGAAAAUAUUCAGGGAUAUCUGUCUAAAAAACAAAUUGUAUGGACAUUCAAUCCACCCCAUGCCUCACACAUGAACGGUGCAUGGGAACGCAUGAUUGGACUGGCAAGAAGAAUUCUCGAUUCAAUGCUAACAGAUAUUCAAGGAAAGCAACUCACUCAUGAAGUUUUAUACACAUUAAUGACAGAAGUUUGUUGUAUCGUCAAUAGUAGACCGAUAAUUGCUGUGUCAAAUGAUCCUGAAUCACCUACUAUUUUGUCACCAAACACUCUAUUGACACAAAAAAUUAAUAGUGACAUAGAACCGUAUCAUUUCAAUUUUUCUGUGAAGGAUAUGUACAAAUCACAGUGGAAGCAUGUACAAGUUUUAGCAAAUCAUUUUUAG